This 304-nucleotide long non-coding RNA is filed under the name Gallus gallus (chicken). The record is from RNAcentral. Lineage: Eukaryota; Metazoa; Chordata; Aves; Galliformes; Phasianidae.
GCUCAAUUGCUACUCAUCAUUUUACUGAUGGAUAAUCUAGAGGAGACUCCUGUGCCUUGACACAAGGAGAACAGAGGAGACUGGGUUACCCACAGGAAGAGUAAGAAUAAACUUUAGCAAAUGGAAAGAUAAAUCACUAUUGAAGAGUUAUGAACGUUGGUUGCAUUUUACUUAACAUUUAAUCUCAAUGCUGCUUCAGAACUGGUUACUAUUUAAUAAAUCAUUUAAAGAUUAUUUUGAUUGUUAGUUAAAACCUGUCAUUCAUGCUAAUUUCUGUUCAACUGAAUGUUAAUGAACAUUUCUU